This 514-nucleotide ribosomal RNA is filed under the name uncultured bacterium. RNAcentral's name for it is "bacterial SSU rRNA". It matches the Rfam family "Bacterial small subunit ribosomal RNA", at positions 32 to 518 of the family's 1533-position model. The record is from RNAcentral.
ACGACGCUGGCGGCGUGCCUAAUACAUGCAAGUCGAACGGUCUUUCUAUGGAAGCUUGCUCCACUGAGAAGAUAGUGGCGAACGGGUGAGUAACACGUGGGUAACCUGCCCAUAAGAGGGGGAUAACAUCCGGAAACGGGUGCUAAUACCGCAUAGUUUUCUUGAUCGCAUGAUCGGGAAAGGAAAGACGGCCUUUGUGCUGUCGCUUAUGGAUGGACCCGCGGCGUAUUAGUUAGUUGGUGAGGUAACGGCUCACCAAGACGAUGAUACGUAGCCGACCUGAGAGGGUGAUCGGCCACAUUGGGACUGAGACACGGCCCAAGCUCCUACGGGAGGCAGCAGUAGGGAAUCUUCCGCAAUGGACGAAAGUCUGACGGAGCAACGCCGCGUGAGUGAAAGAAGGUUUUCGGAUCGUAAAACUCUGUUGUCAGAGAAGAACAAGUUGGAGAGUAACUGCUCCAGCCUUGACGGUAUCUGACCAGAAAGCCACGGCUAACUACGUGCCAGCCGCCGC